Molecule: long non-coding RNA, 210 nt
Filed under: Panax ginseng (ginseng)
Lineage: Eukaryota; Viridiplantae; Streptophyta; Magnoliopsida; Apiales; Araliaceae
Description: long non-coding RNA (PGIN_LNC012551)
Source: RNAcentral
UUAGGAUUCUUGCUCAAGUAAAAGAGGAAGAAAUUAGGAACUUGCCUGGUCUACUACUUACACGACUUAGUUCUAUCUUUAAUUCAACGACCUAUCAUUUAUAAGGUUAUUCUAUUGAUUAGAAUAACAUAUCAUAACACAUCAUACUGUUAUUUACAGUCAAUACAUAACCUAAUCACAUUGUCACAUAGUUAUAUCAGUCAUUAAGAC